AUGGAGGAACUAGGCUCCCCUCAACAACAAAGUGUUCCUCUGGCUCGCCUACCUCGACAGUUGCUAGACUGCGGAGCGGCGUGUGUGCUCUAUCACGCUCUAUUCCACGGCUCCACUUCGCCCCCAUGCUGGAAGCUACUAUGGAGGAGCUGGGCUCCCCUCAACAACAAACUGUUCCUCUGGCUCGCCUACCUCGAUAGAUGUUGGACCGCGGAGCGGCGUGUUCGCCAUGGCUUAUCUAACGACCCUGCUUGCAUCCUCUGCGACCAAGAGGCCGAGUCCAUCGAUCACCUGCUAGUGGGCUGCGUGUUCUCCCGCAUCAUUUGGCACGAAAUUCUCUCCUGGUGUCGCCCUAUCGCCCCACCGUUGGACGACUCCACAAGCUUCUUCGCCUGGUGGUCCGAGGCGGCUGCGGCAUCCCCUGGUUGCUUGAGAAAGGGGCUCAACUCCAUCAUCGUGUUGUCUGCAUGUGCCAUUUGGAAGCAUCACAAUGCAGCUAUCUUCAACGGCCAAUGCCCCUCCACGGGAGAUCUAACCAAGGCCAUCAAGGACGAUGCCCGGCUAUGGGCCAAGGCGGGCACCACGGGACUAGCUAGUAUUAUUCCUGUAACCUAG
Molecule: ribosomal RNA, 615 nt
Filed under: Triticum aestivum (bread wheat)
Lineage: Eukaryota; Viridiplantae; Streptophyta; Magnoliopsida; Poales; Poaceae
Description: partial small subunit ribosomal RNA
Source: RNAcentral